This 446-nucleotide ribosomal RNA is filed under the name uncultured bacterium. Its description in RNAcentral is "bacterial SSU rRNA". It matches the Rfam family "Bacterial small subunit ribosomal RNA", at positions 330 to 793 of the family's 1533-position model. The record is from RNAcentral.
ACCAGACUCCUACGGGAGGCAGCAGUGGGGGAUAUUGCACAAUGGGGGGAACCCUGAUGCAGCGACGCCGCGUGGGUGAAGAAGCGCCUCGGCGCGUAAAGCCCUGUCAGCAGGGAAGAAAAUGACGGUACCUGAAGAAGAAGCCCCGGCUAACUACGUGCCAGCAGCCGCGGUAAUACGUAGGGGGCAAGCGUUAUCCGGAUUUACUGGGUGUAAAGGGGGCGCAGACGGCGAUGCAAGCCAGGAGUGAAAGCCCGGGGCCCAACCCCGGGACUGCUCUUGGAACUGCGUGGCUGGAGUGCAGGAGGGGCAGGCGGAAUUCCUGGUGUAGCGGUGAAAUGCGUAGAUAUCAGGAGGAACACCGGUGGCGAAGGCGGCCUGCUGGACUGCAACUGACGUUGAGGCCCGAAAGCGUGGGGAGCAAACAGGAUUAGAUACCCGUGUAA